GAACAAGGCCCAAAUAACUAGUAAUUUGUAUUCCAUUUACAUAUUUUACAGCCGUCCAGGGCGAAGAUUGGACUGUCAAAGCUAAGCCCAGGUUCGAAGUGGCUAACCAACAUGGUAUGCCAGAAGUUUAGACUGGCUCCACACAAGGCAUGGCUACGCUGUAAUAAAUAAUUAAAUAUACAUUCCCUUAAAAGUUUUACAAGCAAUUCAAGCCGAUUAGACAUUCUGGACUAACUCCAUUAGCACAUUACCGGAUCUGGCCCUGCGCCUCGCAGCAAACAAGACUAAACUUUUUUUUAAGUAAAAAAAAGAGAGGGAAUAUUUACAUGACCCAAACAUAUUUUUAAAAAGUAAAAAAAUCGGUAAUUUAAGUUAUAGACAUUGAGCCAAAUAAGUAAAUAUAUUGAAUUAAGCAACAAAAAAAUCAUGAGAACCUGAACAAAAAAAAUCAGACCAAAAUGAAAAAAAAAAACAACAACAAAGCUUGGAUAUUAGCCAACCCAAUGCGGAACAACAAAAUUUAAAAAAAAAACAAAGAGAGAGAGAAACGACUCAGGUCAACUUGAGUGAGCAAGCUAAAUCUACAACUCGGGUUAUGAGACCGAGAUAAGCAUGUAAAAAACAAAUAAAAAAAUAACAAAGUUCAAUUCCCAACAAAUCCAAUAUAGAUAAAUGAAAUUAAAAAAAAAAUCAUUUGAAAAAAAAACCCAGAAAAGCCCACCAAACCCCGUGGCCUAAAUCAUUUGAAUGAGAUAAUCCAAUAUAAGGUAAAUAAAAAACAAUCUUGAAGCUCAAUUCUAAAACAAUCUAAUGUUGAAUGAUACGACUGAAAAAAUAUUAAAUUUAAAAGAAAAACAACCAAAAAAAUCUCUAACUCAACCCGGGCUAACCUUUGAUCCAAGUGUCGAGACUGGGAUAGACGAAUAAAAGAAAAUCACGAAGCAUGAUUUUAGAAAAACCUAAAGUGAAAUGACAUUAAAAAUAAAAUUAGUGUAAGAAACAAAAUCUAAAAAAAGACCUAUGUUAAUCCAGGUUAAGUUUUCAAACCUGUGACUUGGGUCAUGAAAUUAAGAUCACUCAUCAAGAAAAAACAUUAAGCCAAAUUUUCAACCAACCUCAUGCCGAAGCAUAAAAUUGAAAGAAAAGUUUUUUACAAAAGGACCCAACACAAAAAAAAAAUCAAAAGAAUGAUGACCAAUUUUGAAAUAAAAACAAAUUAGAGAACACCUUAUAUUUUUUGAUUGGAUGAUGACCUUGAAAAAAAAAUCACAAAAUGAUCAAAAAAAAAAAAUUAAAAGAAUGAGUAUUGAAUUAGAAAAAUAAAAUAAGAGGACAACAUGAUAUUUUUUUAUUGAAGGGUGAAGUUGAAAAAACUUUUAAAUUUACAAUAGGAUCCAAAACAAGAAUUUAGCAAUUAAAAGAACAAGGAUCGGAUUUGAAAUAAAAAUAAACGAGGGGACAACUUGAUGUUUUUGGAUUGAAGGGUGAACUUAAAAAAACUUUUAAAUUUACAAUAUGAUCCAAAACAAAAAUUUAGCAAUCAAAAAAGCGGGGAUCAAGUUUGAAAUAAUAAUAAAACAAGAGGACAACUUGAUAUUCUUGGAAGGGUGAAAUUGAAAAAACUUUUAAAUUUACAAUAGGAUCAAACACAAAAAUUUAGCAAUAAAAAAAAACGGAUCAAAUUUGAAACAAUAAUAAAAUGAGAGGAUGAUUCAAAAUUAUUGACUGAGCAAUGCGAAUUCUGAGUAGAGUGAAGGGAAAGAAAAAAUAAAAUAUUGCCGCUGACAAACCGUUGUGAUCCAUUCUCUAUGAGGCGUCCUAUAUGAAAGAACAUGGUGUGCCUCAUCUAUAUCCACCGUGAAAGGCAGUGUUUGGUGUAAAGGAGGUCGUACGCGCCACCAGAAUGUUUUGGCCUCCCUUGCUCUCUGACACAUGUACUGCACUUGCCAACCGAUCAUACCCUUCCCACUAGCUUCGUCCCCUGUAUUUGUUUAAGCAUCAAAUUAGGAAUUUAAAACCUUGAUUGUUUUAGAUAAAAGAAUUUAAACAUAUUUUGACAAGCCAGACAUCAACCGAUCACUUAAAAAAUUCCUUGAUAUUGUGAGACUUCUAUAUAUAAGCAACCAAAAUAAACUAUAAAGUAUCCCAAAAAAAAAGAAGGAUCAAAAUUAAAAACAAAAACAGUAACUGAAAAAAAGAAAUAACAAUAUCUACCUUGAUCCUGCAACCCAGUCUAUAGUUGGGUAAAAUUUAAAGGUCUCGGUAUUUAUCAAGGUUUAAUACUUUAUCACCAAAGCUUUAAUUGCUAUAAAAUAAUAAAAUUAAAUUUUAUAUUUUGAAAAAUCGAGCAACAAAAUAUUUUCUCAACACCCGGAGGUUCUCAUUCAUAGACGAACACAACAAUUUGCAACGCCAAAAUCCACACUAUUGCAAUGUCUAAUGACUAAAUUAGAAAACAAAUAAAUUAAAGGAUCAAAACGUAAAACACCAAAGGGAAAAAAAUCUUUCUUUUGGGCUAUAGUAACUUCAAGAGGAGUUUAAGUUUUUUGCAUACAUCAUGUAGAAAACUAACAUAACACACAUGAGGGCUUGUGUGCUUGUGUUUAGUAUGUUGUUUUUUAACUUGUUUAUUUUUAUGUUUUAAAAAUAUUUUUUAAAAAGUAUGAUUUUUAUUUUAUUUUAUUUUUGUUUUAAAUUAUUUUUUUUCAGGUUAUUUUAAUAUGUUCAUAUUAAAAAUAAUUUUUUUAAGAAUAUAAUUUUAAUAUAUUUCAAGAUAAAAAAUGCUUUUAAAAAUAAUUACUACCAAACGAGUUUAAUCUGACAACAUAAAAUGCCCAAACAAUUCACAAACUACGAGCAUAGUGAAGCUGUUCAAGCAAAAUUAUAAACAAAAUCAAAUUUCUUUCUGACUGGUUCUACAAGUUGGGAAUAGAAUUGAUGAUUUUUUUAAAAAUAAAAACAAAACAUAAUCAGUGGGAAUAAAUACAUUUCAGUUAUCCAACAAGAAUAAGAAGGAUUAGCGAAAAUUAUCAAAGAAACGAGAGAGAAGAUUUUUUGUUGUGUUUUAAAAUCUAUUUGAAUGAGUUAUUUGAUAUCUUCAAAUUAUUUUUAUUGUGGUUGGUUCACAAUUUUUCUUCACUUUGAUCCAAGGACUAAGAAUUUUACUUCAUUUAUUUCCUAGGUGCACCGUAGCAUUUGCCCCUCUAUUUAAUGAAAAAGAAAAAAAUACAGCCUUAUUUCUCUGACCACGCCACGUUCCAUUUCUCCUUACUCCCGAAGAAAAGUACAAACCCAUAAUCCCCAAAUUUCCCAAUCGGAUUCAGAUCUUUUAGGGUUUCCAAGCAGCAAUGGCACUUGAGUGGGUAGUACUAGGCUAUGCCGCAGGCGCAGAGGCAAUCAUGGUCCUUCUCUUGACCAUCCCAGGCCUUGACGGACUGCGCAAGGGGCUGCUCGCGGUGACGCGCAAUCUGCUGAAGCCGUUUAUGUCGGUGGUUCCGUUUUGCCUGUUUCUGCUGAUGGAUAUAUACUGGAAGUAUGAGACGAGGCCGAGCUGCGAGGGCGAGUCCUGCUCUCCAACCGAGCACCUCCGUCACCAGAAAUCUAUUAUGAAAAGCCAGAGGAAUGCGUUGUUGAUCGGUGCUGCUCUAAUUUUCUACUGGCUUCUUUACUCGGUCACUCAUCUUGUUGUGAAGAUCGAGCAGUUGAAUCAGCGCGUCGAGAGGCUCAAGAGCAAGGAGUAAGUGAUGAUGAUGAUGGAUAUACAUGGACUUUGUUUUCUAUUUUCAUGGAUUACUACUGUUAAAUGAGACUUUAAUUGGCGUUUUCAAUUCAGUUAUUUUUCUCGUGUAGGUAGUAACUAUGUUGGAUUUGGAUGUCAAGACUUAUUAAUAUGCAGCUUUUCCUUAAUCAUUUUGGGAGUUUUUUCCUGCGUGUCGAAUUCGUUCCAAUUUUGAUCAGAAUAUGGAUUGUGUUUUGUGAAAGUGUAAAUUGAUGAAAUUGUGAGAUCUGUAUUAGGCAGUUUUAUUAUCUGCUUCUUUCUUCUGAUUAAUGCGGAUGAAUCUGUAGUAUAUUAGGGUAGGAGAAGAGGACGCGCGUGGGUUUUCGAUUUUAGUCAUGCAAUUGCCAUGUCAAAACUCUGAUUGUGAACUUAAUGCAAGCUGUUGCUUGUUCUGACCAAUAGCUAUAUUAGUCUCUUCUGAUCCCUAUCUCAGACAACCAUCACCAUACAAAAAUAAUGGCCAGCCAGGAAAAUGAUGAUGAGAUCCAAAGAUUUUUACCUUUUCUACUCUGAACUCGUCACACUCACAGCGACUCCGUUCCUUCUCAAUGUUGGAAAUAUCGUUCGUUUGGCUCUGAGUCAACCUUUUCUUCAUAUGUGCUCUCUCGCAUGGUCAUCUUUGGCUUUGAAAUUCUUUUUAGUUUUGUCAUCGUUGCAACUUGUAUCGGCUUGAUGUUUCAUCACUUGCAAUGGUGAUGGGACAUGUGAAUUCUUAGUGGCUGGGGGCUGGAGGAGCAGAUCAGAAGAGGGAAUUGAUACCAGGGAGAGGUGGUGGUGGUGGUCUUCUUGGUGUAGAGGAG
RNAcentral lists this long non-coding RNA (4578 nucleotides) under Populus trichocarpa (black cottonwood). RNAcentral describes it as "long non-coding RNA (PTRI_LNC002161)". The record is from RNAcentral. Lineage: Eukaryota; Viridiplantae; Streptophyta; Magnoliopsida; Malpighiales; Salicaceae.